AUUGAACGCUGGCGGCAGGCUUAACCCAUGCAAGUCGAGCGAGCGGCGGACGGGUGAGUAAUGUCUGGGAAACUGCCUGAUGGAGGGGGAUAACUACUGGAAACGGUAGCUAAUACCGCAUACCAUCAGAUGUGCCCAGAUGGGAUUAGCUAGGAGGUGGGGUAUUUGCUCACAUAGGCGACGAUCCCUACCGGGUCUGAGAGGAUGAUCACCCACCCUGGAACUGAGACACGGUCCAGCCUCUUACGCGAGGCCGCAGUUGGGAAUAUUGCACAAUGGGCGCAAGCCUGAUGCAGCCAUGCCGCGUGUGUGAAGAAGGCCUUCGGGUUGUAAAGAACUUUCAGCGAGUAGGCGUUACUCGCAGAAGAAGCACCGGCUAACUCCGUGCGAGCAGCCGCGGUAAUUC
This 406-nucleotide ribosomal RNA is filed under the name uncultured bacterium. Its description in RNAcentral is "partial 16S ribosomal RNA". It matches the Rfam family "Bacterial small subunit ribosomal RNA", at positions 30 to 526 of the family's 1533-position model. The record is from RNAcentral.